AUUGAUACAGAUGAUCUACUGGGUCUGAACGAUGAUGCACCUGAUCCGUUAGCAAUCCUAGACCAAAAUGCACUUGCUUUGGCCUUGGUUUCCACUGAUGAUGAUUUUUCGACGUUUGGUUUUGGUCAAGCAAGAGAUUUGGAUUCGUCAGGAUGGGAGCUUGCCCUGGUCACAACACCUAGCAAUGAUAUAUCUGCAGCCACUGAGAGA
Non-coding RNA from Camelina sativa (false flax), 210 nucleotides. The record is from RefSeq and is a predicted model, not a curated record. NCBI's taxonomy places the organism in Eukaryota, Viridiplantae, Streptophyta, Magnoliopsida, Brassicales, Brassicaceae.